UACCUGCAGCCCAAGUGGUGGUCGAUUUUAUUGAGUCUAAAACGUUCGUAGCCGGUUUGGUAAAUCUUUGGGUAAAUCGGGAGGCUCAACUUUCCGACUUCCGAAGAGACUGCCAAACUUGGGACCGGGAGAGGCUAGAGGUACUUCUGGGGUAGGGGUAAAAUCCUGUAAUCCUGGAAGGACCACCGGUGGCGAAGGCGUCUAGCUAGAACGGAUCCGACGGUGAGGGACGAAGCCCUGGGUCGCAAACGGGAUUAGAUACCCCGGUAGUCCAGGGUGUAAACGCUGCAGACUUGGUGUUGGGGGCCCUUCGGGGCGUCCAGUGCCGGAGAGAAGUUGUUAAGUCUGCUACUUGGGGAGUACGGUCGCAAGACUGAAACUUAA
This 384-nucleotide ribosomal RNA is filed under the name uncultured methanogenic archaeon. RNAcentral describes it as "bacterial SSU rRNA". It matches the Rfam family "Archaeal small subunit ribosomal RNA", at positions 474 to 859 of the family's 1478-position model. Lineage: Archaea; Methanobacteriati; Methanobacteriota. The record is from RNAcentral.